UCUACAUUUACAAACAGUUAAAAUAUUGCCGUGCAUGAAAGGCUGUGAAUUCCUUCGCUACUUGAUAAACACAGUAGCAGGUUUAAUUGCUUUGCUUUUCGAUGCAUAUGAAGCAGGUCGAAAAACUACACCUUUAAAGGUGCUUGUAUUUUGUCGCAACAAGUUAGGAACGCUUGGAUGUGCUUCGGAGUCGGCUUUUCAUGGUGACCGCCAAAUUAGAUGUUUGUUUUUCGCGCAGUUUGGGGUGCAAGAUACAAGAUGCAUGCUGUUCAAAUAAAUUAGCCCAACACAGAUACGUGAGGGGGAUAGCUCUAACUUAUGCUUGUAUUGGAUCUUAAACAUUGAUGACUUUAUUGUUGUUACCAUAGAUACACGACAGAAGAAGACAAUCGGACGUAGAACUUCCGAUAGUUUACGCACCUUUAAUUUGUUAUUAUUUAUUUUGCUUUAAAAAUGUGCAUGAGCAGAAACGUGCACUAACUUGUUACAUAAUCCUCAGUUGUUAUAAAUAAAAAAAAUUAUACUGGACAUUCAAAUUCCAGCAUGGAGACAACUGUUCGAGAACAGUAUAGCACUUCCUCACAGCGCAAAAUACAUGAUUAGAAUCUCUUAUGUUGAACCCGAUAUCACGAGCAAAACGGUUUGAACAUGACUAUAUUUUCUAGAUAGCAGUAAGUCUCUUUCUCAUGAUUCAGUAAAGAUGAUCUCUCGUUGACUAGUGUUUUCAGCCACGCUAAACUAAACCAACUUAACGCUCAGAAUUUAUCAGCUAAAAUCAUUUAUCGGUCCUAUGCUAACACAGAAGAAAACCUUCAAAUUGAAUGAUAAUUUUACAUUCAAAAGUUUGCAUGAGGAUCGAUUAUUUCAAACUGUUCUCAUUAGAAAACAAAGAUAAAUUACACUUGAAAAUUUGCAUGAAUGUGAAUAAAUUUACACUUGAAGUCUUAGUGCCAUCUUGCAGCAAACAUCAUGGACUUCUUGAUUCUAAAAAGGAAGUACAAGGACUAAGGAUAAAGAUUGACGAUAAAGGACUAAGGACAAGGACUAAGGACAAGGACAAGGACAAGGACAAGGACAAAGAGUGACGAUAAAGGAAGAAGUAGCUCUUUAAAUAAAUUAUUAAAACAGGAUGGAGAAGAAUGAAAUGCAGAAUAAGCGGAAAAUAACCCACGCACAAGAAACCGGUUUUCGAUGCAACACCUGGAAUUGCUCGACUAUUCAAAUGACGUUUUGGCGAGAUUGCUUUCCAAAUCAAUUUAAAGACUCAGAUUACGAUCUUGGCAAUAGAACUUUUGAGAAAAAAAGCGAGUAAACAUGAAAAAGGUCUUCCCACACGAAAAAAUUGACGGGACGCUGAAAAAAAGGCUGGAAAUUAUGAACUGUUUAAAGGAUGAAUUCGUAAACAUCUGAAUGAAAAGCAAGGCAAUCCUCGUUUUUUGACUUCACUCGUUGAUAGCAAAAUUUCGUGCCUAGUAGCACAAUUCUAUAUUUAGAUUGUAGACUAUAGUUGUUUAUAACUAUUCUAGAAAAUUAAUCGCAAAAUUCAUAAUGACAGUAUUCUGAUUAAAGUCAUUUAGCUAAAGGCUUCAAAGCA
Molecule: long non-coding RNA, 1594 nt
Organism: Xenia sp. Carnegie-2017
Lineage: Eukaryota; Metazoa; Cnidaria; Anthozoa; Malacalcyonacea; Xeniidae
Exons: 2
Source: RefSeq, a predicted model, not a curated record